RNAcentral lists this ribosomal RNA (484 nucleotides) under uncultured bacterium. Its description in RNAcentral is "partial 16S ribosomal RNA". It matches the Rfam family "Bacterial small subunit ribosomal RNA", at positions 30 to 507 of the family's 1533-position model. The record is from RNAcentral.
AUUGAACGCUGGCGGCAGGCCUAACACAUGCAAGUCGAGCGGAUGAAGGGAGCUUGCUCCUGGAUUCAGCGGCGGACGGGUGAGUAAUGCCUAGGAAUCUGCAUGGUAGUGGGGGAUAACGUCCGGAAACGGGCGCUAAUACCGCAUACGUCCUGAGGGAGAAAGUGGGGGAUCUUCGGACCUCACGCUAUCAGAUGAGCCUAGGUCGGAUUAGGUAGUUGGUGGGGUAAAGGCCUACCAAGGCGACGAUCCGUAACUGGUCUGAGAGGAUGAUCAGUCACACUGGAACUGAGACACGGUCCAGACUCCUACGGGAGGCAGCAGUGGGGAAUAUUGGACAAUGGGCGAAAGCCUGAUCCAGCCAUGCCGCGUGUGUGAAGAAGGUCUUCGGAUUGUAAAGCACUUUAAGUUGGGAGGAAGGGCAGUAAGUUAAUACCUUGCUGUUUUGACGUUACCAACAGAAUAAGCACCGGCUAACUUCGUG